AGGUUCGAUUCUGGCUCAGGAUGAACGCUGGCGGCGUGCCUAACACAUGCAAGUCGAACGAAGCUCGAUCCUCGGGGAUUUCGGUCAAAGAGGAAAGAUGACUUAGUGGCGGACGGGUGAGUAAUGCGUGAGCAACCUGCCUCGGAGUGGGGGACAACAGUUGGAAACGACUGCUAAUACCGCAUAAUGUAUUCGGGGGGCAUCCUCUGAAUACCAAAGAUUUAUCGCUCUGAGAUGGGCUCGCGUCUGAUUAGCUAGUUGGUGAGGUAACGGCUCACCAAGGCUGCGAUCAGUAGCCGGACUGAGAGGUUGAACGGCCACAUUGGGACUGAGAUACGGCCCAGACUCCUACGGGAGGCAGCAGUGGGGAAUAUUGGGCAAUGGGCGCAAAGCCUGACCCAGCAACGCCGCGUGAAGGAAGAAGGCUUUCGGGUUGUAAACUUCUUUUAUGAGGGACGAAGAACGUGACGGUACCUCAUGAAUAAGCCACGGCUAACUACGUGCCAGCCGCCGC
This 514-nucleotide ribosomal RNA is filed under the name uncultured bacterium. RNAcentral's name for it is "bacterial SSU rRNA". It matches the Rfam family "Bacterial small subunit ribosomal RNA", at positions 9 to 518 of the family's 1533-position model. The record is from RNAcentral.